GGGCGGUUAGCUCAGCUGGUAGAGCAUCUGCUUGACGUGCAGAGGGUCGGGGAUUCGAGUUCCUCACCGCCCACCA
Molecule: transfer RNA, 76 nt
Filed under: Candidatus Allofournierella merdavium
Lineage: Bacteria; Bacillati; Bacillota; Clostridia; Eubacteriales; Oscillospiraceae
Description: Candidatus Fournierella merdavium (gut metagenome) tRNA-Val
Rfam family: tRNA
About the family: Transfer RNA (tRNA) molecules are approximately 80 nucleotides in length.
Source: RNAcentral